This 643-nucleotide ribosomal RNA is filed under the name uncultured bacterium. RNAcentral's name for it is "bacterial SSU rRNA". It matches the Rfam family "Bacterial small subunit ribosomal RNA", at positions 304 to 945 of the family's 1533-position model. The record is from RNAcentral.
GCGGCCGCGAAUUCACUAGUGAUUACUCCUACGGGAGGCAGCAGUGGGGAAUAUUGGACAAUGGGGGGAACCCUGAUCCAGCCAUGCCGCGUGUGUGAAGAAGGCCUUAUGGUUGUAAAGCACUUUAAGCGAGGAGGAGGCUACUGAGACUAAUACUCUUGGAUAGUGGACGUUACUCGCAGAAUAAGCACCGGCUAACUCUGUGCCAGCAGCCGCGGUAAUACAGAGGGUGCGAGCGUUAAUCGGAUUUACUGGGCGUAAAGCGUGCGUAGGCGGCUUUUUAAGUCGGAUGUGAAAUCCCCGAGCUUAACUUGGGAAUUGCAUUCGAUACUGGGAAGCUAGAGUAUGGGAGAGGAUGGUAGAGUUCCAGGUGUAGCGGUGAAAUGCGUAGAGAUCUGGAGGAAUACCGAUGGCGAAGGCAGCCAUCUGGCCUAAUACUGACGCUGAGGUACGAAAGCAUGGGGAGCAAACAGGAUUAGAUACCCUGGUAGUCCAUGCCGUAAACGAUGUCUACUAGCCGUUGGGGCCUUUGAGGCUUUAGUGGCGCAGCUAACGCGAUAAGUAGACCGCCUGGGGAGUACGGUCGCAAGACUAAAACUCAAAUGAAUUGACGGGGGCCCCCACAAGCGGUGGAGCAUGUGGA